AUUUAGAUUGCUGCUUCCUAGAAUACCAUGUGCUCCAUGAAGGUAAGAAGAGCUCAUCUCGGAUCAUCGCGGCUCGGAGAUUGUAGGCCAUGAUAGGGGUGGCGUACUUCAGCUGGUGUGGUAGCAGCAAGAUCUUGCUAAUGAGGAGGGGAACAAACUUCUCACCCAAUUUGGCAAUUUGAGUAACUGGAUUAUUGUAUGGAACCUGAUGUAUAUGACUUGUGCUUAAAGAAAAAAGCUCCAAGCUCCUCGAC
Long non-coding RNA from Lolium rigidum, 254 nucleotides. RefSeq lists it as uncharacterized. The transcript has 3 exons. NCBI's taxonomy places the organism in Eukaryota, Viridiplantae, Streptophyta, Magnoliopsida, Poales, Poaceae. The record is from RefSeq and is a predicted model, not a curated record.